RNAcentral lists this ribosomal RNA (836 nucleotides) under uncultured bacterium. Its description in RNAcentral is "SSU rRNA". It matches the Rfam family "Bacterial small subunit ribosomal RNA", at positions 524 to 1381 of the family's 1533-position model. The record is from RNAcentral.
UACGGAAGGUCCGAGCGUUAAUCGGAAUUACUGGGCGUAAAGCGCACGUAGGCGGUUAGAUCAGUUGGGUGUGAAAGCCCCGGGCUCAACCUGGGAACUGCAUCCAAUACUGUCUGACUAGAGUACGAGAGAGGGGGGUAGAAUUUCUAGUGUAGCGGUGAAAUGCGUAGAUAUUAGAAGGAAUACCAGUGGCGAAGGCGGCCCCCUGGCUCGAUACUGACGCUGAGGUGCGAAAGCGCGGGGAGCAAACAGGAUUAGAUACCCUGGUAGUCCACGCCGUAAACGAUGUCUACUAGCCGUUGGGGAACUUGAUUUCUUAGUGGCGCAGCUAACGCAAUAAGUAGACCGCCUGGGGAGUACGGUCGCAAGAUUAAAACUCAAAUGAAUUGACGGGGGCCCGCACAAGCGGUGGAGCAUGUGGUUUAAUUCGAAGCAACGCGAAGAACCUUACCAAGACUUGACAUCCUGAGAACUUAGCAGAAAUGCUUUGGUGCCUUCGGGAACUCAGAGACAGGUGCUGCAUGGCUGUCGUCAGCUCGUGUUGUGAAAUGUUGGGUUAAGUCCCGUAACGAGCGCAACCCUUGUCCUUAGUUGCCAGCGAGUAAUGUCGGGAACUCUAAGGAGACUGCCGGUGACAAACCGGAGGAAGGUGGGGACGACGUCAAGUCAUCAUGGCCCUUACGUCUUGGGCUACACACGUGCUACAAUGGCAGUGACAAUGGGUUAAUCCCAAGAAGCUGUCUCAGUUCGGAUUGUUCUCUGCAACUCGAGAGCAUGAAGUCGGAAUCGCUAGUAAUCGCGUAACAGCAUGACGCGGAGAAUACGUUCCCGGGCCU